GAAUUAUUGGGCGUAAAGAGCUCGUAGGCGGUUUGUCGCGUCUGCUGUGAAAACCCGAGGCUCAACCUCGGGCCUGCAGUGGGUACGGGCAGACUAGAGUGCGGUAGGGGAGAAUGGAAUUCCUGGUGUAGCGGUGGAAUGCGCAGAUAUCAGGAGGAACACCGAUGGCGAAGGCAGUUCUCUGGGCCGUUACUGACGCUGAGGAGCGAAAGCGUGGGGAGCGAACAGGAUUAGAUACCCUGGUAGUCAAGGGCG
RNAcentral lists this ribosomal RNA (255 nucleotides) under uncultured Actinomycetales bacterium. RNAcentral describes it as "partial 16S ribosomal RNA". It matches the Rfam family "Bacterial small subunit ribosomal RNA", at positions 548 to 802 of the family's 1533-position model. Lineage: Bacteria; Bacillati; Actinomycetota; Actinomycetes; Actinomycetales. The record is from RNAcentral.